GAUGAACGCUGACAGAAUGCUUAACACAUGCAAGUCUACUUGAAGCUAACUUCGGUUAGUGGAUGGUGGCGGACGGGUGAGUAACGCGUAAAGAACUUGCCUCACAGAUUGGGACGACAUUUGGAAACGAAUGCUAAUACCGGAUAUUAUGAUACUUCUGCAUGGAAGAAUCAUGAAAGCUAUAUGCGCUGUGAGAGAGCUUUGCGUCCCAUUAGCUAGUUGGAGAGGUAACGGCUCACCAAGGCGAUGAUGGGUAGCCGGCCUGAGAGGGUGAACGGCCACAAGGGGACUGAGACACGGCCCUUACUCCUACGGGAGGCAGCAGUGGGGAAUAUUGGACAAUGGACCAAAAGUCUGAUCCAGCAAUUCUGUGUGCACGAUGAAGUUUUUCGGAAUGUAAAGUGCUUUCAGUUGGGAAGAAGCAAGUGACGGUACCAACAGAAGAAGCGACGGCUAAAUACGUGCCAGCAGCCGCGGUAAUACGUAUGUCGCAAGCGUUAUCCGGAUUUAUUGGGCGUAAAGCGCGUCUAGGUGGUUAUAUAAGUCUGAUGUGAAAAUGCGGGGCUCAACUCCGUAUUGCGUUGGAAACUGUAUGACUAGAGUACUGGAGAGGUAAGCGGAACUACAAGUGUAGAGGUGAAAUUCGUAGAUAUUUGUAGGAAUGCCGAUGGGGAAGCCAGCUUACUGGACAGAUACUGACGCUAAAGCGCGAAAGCGUGGGUAGCAAACAG
RNAcentral lists this ribosomal RNA (731 nucleotides) under uncultured bacterium. RNAcentral describes it as "bacterial SSU rRNA". It matches the Rfam family "Bacterial small subunit ribosomal RNA", at positions 28 to 775 of the family's 1533-position model. The record is from RNAcentral.